CUGCCCUCCAGCCCGGCUGGUGUGUUGGGCCGCCGUCCCGUUCCCCUCCGGGGGGCUGGGACGGGCCCGAAAGGCAGCGGCGGCACCGCGUCCGGUCCUCGAGCGUAUGGGGCUUUGUCACCCGCUCUGUAGGCCCGGCCGGCGCUGGCCGACCUUCCAACCUAGUGUUAUUUCUCCA
RNAcentral lists this unclassified non-coding RNA (178 nucleotides) under uncultured Trichocomaceae. Its description in RNAcentral is "sequence contains ITS2". The record is from RNAcentral. Lineage: Eukaryota; Fungi; Ascomycota; Eurotiomycetes; Eurotiales; Trichocomaceae.